RNAcentral lists this ribosomal RNA (274 nucleotides) under uncultured bacterium. Its description in RNAcentral is "partial 16S ribosomal RNA". It matches the Rfam family "Bacterial small subunit ribosomal RNA", at positions 523 to 796 of the family's 1533-position model. The record is from RNAcentral.
AUACGGGGGGUGCAAGCGUUAUUCGGAUUUAUUGGGCGUAAAGAGCGCGUAGGCGGCUUGGUAAGUCAGAUGUGAAAGCCCGGGGCUCAACCCCGGAAGUGCAUUUGAAACUAUCAGGCUUGAGUAUGGGAGAGGGAAGUGGAAUUCCUGGUGUAGAGGUGAAAUUCGUAGAUAUCAGGAGGAACACCGGUGGCGAAGGCGACUUCCUGGACCAAUACUGACGCUGAGGCGCGAAGGCGUGGGGAGCAAACAGGAUUAGAUACCCCUGUAGUCC